AUUUUUAAAUGAAAAAGUGGAAUUGAUAUAUAAAUAAUUUGUGUUCCCACCUCCCCCCUUCCCUUAUAGAGAAGAACGUGCUGGUUGAGAGAAGCAGGAUCUUGAAGAAGAAAAGUACUGCCCCAGACUGAUGUGUGGUUUGACACAAGUCGGGGCCACCCCAGGCUGGGGGGCUCCGGGGGUCCCAGGAGGUGGGCAGGGAGUCAACGGAGAAGGAAGCCCAGCAUCACCAGACCCAGUGCUUCUGGCUGGCUGGGGGUCACCCCGUUGAACCUCAAGUCAAAGAUACAGGGCAGCUGAGCAACUGGAGCCAGCGAUGCAAGUCAGCACCAACUGAAACCCUGUUUUGCCAGAGCCUUCCUGCACCAUCCUUGCAUUCGACCCUCUGCAGAGACUUGGUGUAAUCAGAUUCUAUAGAAAGAAAACAAACAGAAGAAUGGCUAGUAUGUGAAGGAACAUGAAUCCAUUCGUUUGAUAAUAGAUAUUAUUAUGUUCAUGGCGAGCAAACUUAAAUAUGCCCAAGUUAAUGUAUAUUCAUUUCAAGCAAAUGUUAAUUAAACAAACUACUGUGUAAUUUUGGGGUUGUUAAAUGGUUGUCUACCAAGCUGAGACAGACUUGAAGUCCAGAAGUGACAGAACUUUGUAUUAUUUACCUUAUGUGUUCAGGGAAUACGUCCCCCAUCUGACUUGUGUGUUUCAUUGUUGAUAGAAGUAUCUGUCUAGCUAACUGAAUAAUUUCUUACUAAUAUUGAGCAUUCAUUUGUAAUUCCAAUAAAAGUCAGAAAACCUG
Bos taurus (domestic cattle) is the source of this 790-nucleotide long non-coding RNA. The record is from Ensembl. NCBI's taxonomy places the organism in Eukaryota, Metazoa, Chordata, Mammalia, Artiodactyla, Bovidae.